This 501-nucleotide ribosomal RNA is filed under the name uncultured Glomeromycotina. RNAcentral's name for it is "partial small subunit ribosomal RNA". It matches the Rfam family "Eukaryotic small subunit ribosomal RNA", at positions 591 to 1091 of the family's 1831-position model. Lineage: Eukaryota; Fungi; Glomeromycota. The record is from RNAcentral.
CCAAUAGCGUAUAUUAAAGUUGUUGCAGUUAAAAAGCUCGUAGUUGAACUUCGGGGUUUACCCAUUGGUCAGGCUUAAUUGUCUGUACUGGUGAGAUGAAUCUCUACCUUCUGAGGAACUUUCAUGCCAUUUAUUUGGUGUGAUGGGAAAUCAGGACUGUUACUUUGAAAAAAUUAGAGUGUUUAAAGCAGGCUAACGUCUGAAUACAUUAGCAUGGAAUAAUGAAAUAGGACGGACUGAUUCUAUUUCGUUGGUUUCUAGGAUCACCGUAAUGAUUAAUAGGGAUAGUUGGGGGCAUUAGUAUUCAAUUGUCAGAGGUGAAAUUCUUGGAUUUAUUGAAGACUAACUACUGCGAAAGCAUUUGCCAAGGAUGUUUUCAUUAAUCAAGAACGAAAGUUAGGGGAUCGAAGACGAUCAGAUACCGUCGUAGUCUUAACCAUAAACUAUGCCGACUAGGGAUCGGACGAAGUUAAUUUUAUAAUGACGCGUUCGGCACCUUAC